RNAcentral lists this unclassified non-coding RNA (223 nucleotides) under plant metagenome. RNAcentral describes it as "partial contains small subunit ribosomal RNA, internal transcribed spacer 1, and 5.8S ribosomal RNA". The record is from RNAcentral.
UUUCCGUAGGUGAACCUGCGGAAGGAUCAUUAAAGAGAAUAUGCCCUUCGGGGUAGAUCUCCCACCCUUUGUUUAUAUUACCUUUGUUGCUUUGGCAGGCCCGUCUUCGGACCACCGGCUUCGGCUGGUCAGUGCUUGCCAGAGGACCAAAAACUCUUAUUAUUAAUGUCGUCUGAGUACUAUAUAAUAGUUAAAACUUUCAACAACGGAUCUCUUGGUUCUG